This 444-nucleotide ribosomal RNA is filed under the name uncultured bacterium. Its description in RNAcentral is "partial 16S ribosomal RNA". It matches the Rfam family "Bacterial small subunit ribosomal RNA", at positions 339 to 795 of the family's 1533-position model. The record is from RNAcentral.
CUACGGGGUGCAGCAGUGGGGAAUAUUGCACAAUGGGCGCAAGCCUGAUGCAGCAACGCCGCGUGAGGGAUGAAGGCCUUCGGGUUGUAAACCUCUUUUAGCAGGGAAGAAGCGAAAGUGACGGUACCUGCAGAAAAAGCACCGGCUAACUACGUGCCAGCAGCCGCGGUAAUACGUAGGGUGCAAGCGUUGUCCGGAAUUAUUGGGCGUAAAGAGCUCGUAGGCGGUUUGUCACGUCUGCUGUGAAAAUCCAAGGCUCAACCUUGGACUUGCAGUGGGUACGGGCAGGCUAGAGUGCGGUAGGGGGGGUGGGAAUUCCUGGUGUAGCGGUGGAAUGCGCAGAUAUCAGGAGGAACACCAAUGGCGAAGGCACAUCUCUGGGCCGUAACUGACGCUGAGGAGCGAAAGCGUGGGGAGCGAACAGGAUUAGAUACCCGCGUAGUC